This 471-nucleotide ribosomal RNA is filed under the name uncultured Cornuvia. RNAcentral describes it as "bacterial SSU rRNA". It matches the Rfam family "Eukaryotic small subunit ribosomal RNA", at positions 90 to 563 of the family's 1831-position model. Lineage: Eukaryota; Evosea; Eumycetozoa; Trichiida. The record is from RNAcentral.
CGAACGGCUCCGUAUAUCUGUUUUAACCUACCGCCGCUCAACCCCAGCGGCAUAACCACGGUAAUUCUGUGGCUAAUACGUGUACUACGGCGGCUGCCAGGGCGCAAGCCCCGGCGGCCCCGGUCUUGCCGGUCGACCAACGGCGGGUUAAACCGCUAGCGUGAGUGCCGGCAAGGGUACCUGACCGCAGCACUAGCUGCGGCACGAGCGGUGGGAAUCAGACCUAUCAACUAGAUGGCCGGGUAUUGUCCGGCCAUGGUUAUAACGGGUACAGAGGAUCAGGGUUCGGUCCUGGAGAGGUAGCCUGAGAGAUCGCUACUACUUCUAAGGAAGGCAGCAGGCGCGCAACGUUCCCAAUGGGGGCACCCUGAGGACGUGAAGGGACAUAUCAAUGCCCGGCCCUUAAAGCCGGGCAAUUGAAAUGGGGGACCUUUAAACCCCACACCGAGUAACGAUUGGAGGACAAGUCUG